AGCAGUCGCCGCGGGAAUACAGAGGGUGCGAGCGUUAAUCGGAUUUACUGGGCGUAAAGCGUGCGUAGGCGGCUUUUUAAGUCGGAUGUGAAAUCCCUGAGCUUAACUUAGGAAUUGCAUUCGAUACUGGGAAGCUAGAGUAUGGGAGAGGAUGGUAGAAUUCCAGGUGUAGCGGUGAAAUGCGUAGAGAUCUGGAGGAAUACCGAUGGCGAAGGCAGCCAUCUGGCCUAAUACUGACGCUGAGGUACGAAAGCAUGGGGAGCAAACAGGAUUAGAUACCCCGGUAGUCCCUGUCUCUUAUAA
RNAcentral lists this ribosomal RNA (303 nucleotides) under uncultured bacterium. RNAcentral describes it as "partial 16S ribosomal RNA". It matches the Rfam family "Bacterial small subunit ribosomal RNA", at positions 507 to 809 of the family's 1533-position model. The record is from RNAcentral.